This 497-nucleotide ribosomal RNA is filed under the name uncultured bacterium. RNAcentral's name for it is "partial 16S ribosomal RNA". It matches the Rfam family "Bacterial small subunit ribosomal RNA", at positions 28 to 507 of the family's 1533-position model. The record is from RNAcentral.
GAUGAACGCUGGCGGCGUGCCUAAUACAUGCAAGUCGAGCGAACGGACGAGAAGCUUGCUUCUCUGAUGUUAGCGGCGGACGGGUGAGUAACACGUGGAUAACCUACCUAUAAGACUGGGAUAACUUCGGGAAACCGGAGCUAAUACCGGAUGAUAUUUUGAACCGCAUGGUUCAAAAGUGAAAGACGGUCUUGCUGUCACUUAUAGAUGGAUCCGCGCUGCAUUAGCUAGUUGGUAAGGUAACGGCUUACCAAGGCAACGAUGCAUAGCCGACCUGAGAGGGUGAUCGGCCACACUGGAACUGAGACACGGUCCAGACUCCUACGGGAGGCAGCAGUAGGGAAUCUUCCGCAAUGGGCGAAAGCCUGACGGCGCAACGCCGCGUGAGUGAUGAAGGUCUUCGGAUCGUAAAACUCUGUUAUUAGGGAAGAACAUAUGUGUAAGUAACUGUGCACAUCUUGACGGUACCUAAUCAGAAAGCCACGGCUAACUACGUG